Molecule: long non-coding RNA, 567 nt
Organism: Zea mays
Lineage: Eukaryota; Viridiplantae; Streptophyta; Magnoliopsida; Poales; Poaceae
Exons: 2
Source: RefSeq, a predicted model, not a curated record
GAGGCAAUUGUUGUGUAGCAGGUGGUGGAUCAUCAUGGGUGGUGAUGCCAUCGCCCUGAUCAGCACUGGUUAAGCUUCCGGUGGCAGGAGGAGAGUCAUGAGGCCUCAGUGGACGCACUUUGGACUGAAAUGGAGGGAACUCGGCAGGGGUGACGAGCAUGGACGACGCCAUCCACACAGCCACCAGGCAGAGCGCGACGAAUACGGCGACGGUGGUUGUGGAGCAGCAGAGGUAGGACGACUGCGGCGGACGCCGGACAUCGAGCCGCGUGUGGCCGAACGGCAUAUCGAUCGGUGGGUCCGAAUCCAAUUCUCACAUCCAACGCUGUGAGCAAUCAGCUGCCUGGACCAAAACAGUUCAAGGGUAAGAAUCGAGGACAGGAGGGGAACUAGCGAAAUUGGCAACGAGUCCCAGAAGGAAAUUGAAAUCGAAUUGCAGGAGCAUCAGGAGAGAGGAGAAGUGAUCUGGUACGUACCUUGUGGCAAUGAAUCGAUGAGAGGGGAUGGGUUGAAGCAGGGGACUUGAUCCAGAUUCCGCUUGUCGGCCGCUAAGAACAGACGCCGAAA